GACGGAGGGGGCAAGCGUUGUUCGGAAUUAUUGGGCGUAAAGGGCUCGUAGGCUGGCGUGUAAGUCUGACGUGAAAUCUCCACCGCUCACCGGGGAGAGGCCGCUGGAUACUGCACGUCUGGAGUUCGGCAGAGGACCAUGGAAUUUCGGGUGUAGCGGUGGAAUGCGUAGAGAUCGGCAGGAACACCCAGGGGGAAACCAGUCGACUGGGCAGCACCUGACGCUGAGGUGCGAGAGCGUGGGGAGCGAACCGG
This 254-nucleotide ribosomal RNA is filed under the name uncultured bacterium. RNAcentral's name for it is "partial 16S ribosomal RNA". It matches the Rfam family "Bacterial small subunit ribosomal RNA", at positions 524 to 776 of the family's 1533-position model. The record is from RNAcentral.